RNA transcript from Abrus precatorius (Indian licorice), 2462 nucleotides. RefSeq lists it as uncharacterized. The record is from RefSeq and is a predicted model, not a curated record. NCBI's taxonomy places the organism in Eukaryota, Viridiplantae, Streptophyta, Magnoliopsida, Fabales, Fabaceae. The transcript has 5 exons.
CCAAAAACACACUCUUGAAUCUACACUAGAUAGUACAUACUCAAACAGAGUUUUCUGGGAUCAUAUUCUGCUUCUAUUCCCAUGUCCCAUGUACCAUGUUUCAUGUUGUUGUAGAAUUUCUUGAUUGAAUAGAACGAUUUUUACUUCAUAUUCUUUUGCCCCAAGUGCUGAAAUCAGUACAUGAUAUUGCCUUGAAUCUUGAACUUAGUAUUGAGAGGAUCUGCAUAGAAGAGUUAAGUUGUGGGACAUUAUGGAUGAAGGGAAAUUGAAUAUUGAUGCCCCUCUUAUGUCUGUGAGGCGUUCUUCUGGCGCAUCACCAUCCUUAACUGAAGCAAAGAGAAAGACAUUAGAAAGGCCACAAGCUCUUCCACACUUUAAGCCAAACGUGACUUUGGAUCAGGUAACAGAACCUGUUGCAGUGCCUUUCAAUUGGGAGCAUAUCCCUGGAAGACCCAAGGAUGAUGGUGGAUCUCAAUCUCAACCUCCUAGAGAGCCUUCAAUUACUCCAAGCCCAAGUUUUCCCCUUGGAAAGCUCAUAAAUGUUGCCAAAGAACCAUUGGAAAAGGAAUCUAAUAUUGCAAAUAAAUUUAGGAACCCAAGCAUAUCAAACUCUUCAAGUAAAGUUGAUUGUGACAGAGAAAAAAAAUAUGAGAAAACAAAAAAUGUGGAAGAGGAUGAUGACUAUGAUAAUGAUGUUUAUUCUGAUGCCCUUGACAUACUGUCACCUACAGAACCAUUAUCUAUGAACUGUAGUGUAAGUGGAUUAGAUAAUUUGGAUGCAAACAAAUGUGGAACCUCUUCUACUGAUAAACAAACACAAGACUUCAUGAUGAGCCGUUUUUUACCUGCAGCAAAGGCUAUGACUAUUCAGCCUCCUCAAUAUGCUUCAAGAAAGCAACCGGUUGUGGUUGAACAACCUAGGGAAUUUACCAAAUUGGUUCGUGAGGAAAAGCAGUCCUUUGUUAAUAGACAUAUCACUGAUAUUAUACCAUAUACUGCCCAUUGUCAAGAGGAAGAAGAAGAAGAAGAAGAAAGUGAAGAUGAAACCAAUGAUUAUGCAAACAUUUCAGCUAAAGGUUGCGGUUUACUUCCCCGGUUAUGCGUUAGAAAUUCACUGUGCCUAUUAAAUUCAGUGCCUGGGACAAAAAUGGGACACCAGUUUACCUUUUAUUCUGCCCAUGAGGCUGGAAAAACUGAUAAAGGUUCUCAAAAUCGCUCUUAUAGACCAGCUCCAGCUAUAAAAAAGGCUUGGGAUGCUAUUCAUAAGAGCAAAUCAAGCUCUGGAGACAUGCACGAGGUAAGGAAAAAAUGGACUAGUGAUUCAAACAGGUACACUUACUCAGGUGAAUUGAAACAUAUAGGUAGACUCUCACCCUUUCGUCGUUCAAGAGCUGCUGCUGCUGGCAUAUCUCCUUUUCGAAGUAAGACUCAACCUCUCUUUCCUGAAGCAAUGUUGCUUGGUGAUUCCAAACGAGUUGAAAAUAUUAACCAUUCUGGCAAAUUGAAAUUACCAAGUAGAGGACAUGCAAGUACUCAAGAGGUGUUAACACAAGGAGCCAAAAAAAUAUCAAAUUCAGGAAGUCUUGCAAUUGAAAAAACAUUGUACAUAGAUACUGCUAGUACUGUAAAAUUAUCCUGCUCAAAUUCAAGUUUCUUAGCUAACACACAAAGGAUAGACUCUGUGGUAGGGAAAGAAAGAAAUUCCACAGUAGAUUCUUUUCAAGACAUGAAACAUCUACAAGCUUUGGAGGAAAAUUUGGAUUCUCAAGAACUGAAUUCUAUGGAUGCCAAUCCUUCAACUUUGUCUAGUAUGUUUCAUCUCAUGGCCAAAGAAGAUGAAGAUGAAAGACUGAACAAGGACCAAGAAAUUAACCAAGAAUCCAUGUCCUUGCAACUUGUGCAAAGUUCAUUUGACAAAGAUACAGCAUUCAACAACAAGCAAAUUGUAGUAGCUGAUGAUUCAAGAAAAGUUAGUGCUGAAUAUGUUUUGCAUCAUCUUGCCCCUCCACUGCCAAAGUCACCUUCUGAAUCGUGGCUUUGUCGUGCCCUGCCUUUAGUUUCUUCUAAGAAUUCAUUCCCAUAUUCGAAUCAAGGUACACAUUACAAUGCUAAAAGGCAGGGUUUUAGUAGAACAUCCAGCUAUACUAAGUGGGAAACAAUAGUGAAAACUUCAAAUUUGAAUCAUGAUCAUGUAUGUUGUUCUAAGGAACUAACAGUGUAUAAAUCUCAGCAUUCAAAAUCUUAAAGAUGGAACUUUGGCUUGUAUUGUGUAUAUCAUGUAAUGGUCCAAGCUUUUUAUAUCCUUUAUUUUAUCAGGCUUGUGGGAUUUUGGUUCUCCCCCUAUUGGUUUUUGGCACGACAACGUAGUAUAGUACAGAGGAAUCAAUAUCAUUUUUAGUGACCACACAGAUUCUUAUGGACUCUUCUUUCGGUGGAUUCAAGUUUUCACAAGCUACCCCAAG